UACGUAGGGGGCUAGCGUUAUCCGGAUUUACUGGGCGUAAAGGGUGCGUAGGUGGUUUCUUAAGUCAGGAGUGAAAGGCUACGGCUCAACCGUAGUAAGCUCUUGAAACUGGGAAACUUGGAGUGCAGGAGUGGAAAGUGGAAUUCCUAAGUGUAGCGGUGAAAUGCGUAGAUAUUAGGAGGAACACCAUGU
RNAcentral lists this ribosomal RNA (192 nucleotides) under uncultured bacterium. RNAcentral describes it as "partial 16S ribosomal RNA". It matches the Rfam family "Bacterial small subunit ribosomal RNA", at positions 524 to 714 of the family's 1533-position model. The record is from RNAcentral.